UCGGGUAUGGUGUAACGGCUAACAUUGCCGCCUCUCACGAGUUCGCGGCAGCUCGGGGUUCGAUUCCCCGUACCCGAA
RNAcentral lists this transfer RNA (78 nucleotides) under Ephemerocybe angulata. RNAcentral describes it as "Coprinellus angulatus tRNA-Glu". It matches the Rfam family "tRNA". From Rfam's summary of the family: Transfer RNA (tRNA) molecules are approximately 80 nucleotides in length. Their secondary structure includes four short double-helical elements and three loops (D, anti-codon, and T loops). Further hydrogen bonds mediate the characteristic L-shaped molecular structure. tRNAs have two regions of fundamental functional importance: the anti-codon, which is responsible for specific mRNA codon recognition, and the 3' end, to which the tRNAs corresponding amino acid is attached (by aminoacyl-tRNA synthetases). tRNAs cope with the degeneracy of the genetic code in two manners: having more than one tRNA (with a specific anti-codon) for a particular amino acid; and 'wobble' base-pairing, i.e. permitting non-standard base-pairing at the 3rd anti-codon position. Lineage: Eukaryota; Fungi; Basidiomycota; Agaricomycetes; Agaricales; Psathyrellaceae. The record is from RNAcentral.